GGGGCACCCGAAGAAGAUACAGCAUCCUCUUCAGAAGACGUCCAAAUUGCUCUCCGUUUGUAGAUCGGGGGAAGAUCAUCUCGGUGAUUUGAGUCGCUAGAAUCGACAAGAGAAGCGCUCGGGGACGAUAGACGAGAAGGGAAACAACCAGAAAACAAGAAUUUCUAUCCCGGAAAAAUCAAAAAUAACAAAAAGAACGACGGAGCUUCGCCGGAAAAGAAAAAACGAUAGAAAUAUCAAGAUCAGAGAGAAGGAAGCAAACCUUGUUUAUUUUCUUCGAAAACUUCAAAUGAAAUCUCGAAGGAGUGG
RNAcentral lists this small RNA (309 nucleotides) under Arabidopsis thaliana (thale cress). Its description in RNAcentral is "ATSL161120". Lineage: Eukaryota; Viridiplantae; Streptophyta; Magnoliopsida; Brassicales; Brassicaceae. The record is from RNAcentral.